RNAcentral lists this ribosomal RNA (264 nucleotides) under uncultured Glomus. Its description in RNAcentral is "partial 18S ribosomal RNA". It matches the Rfam family "Eukaryotic small subunit ribosomal RNA", at positions 624 to 885 of the family's 1831-position model. The record is from RNAcentral. Lineage: Eukaryota; Fungi; Glomeromycota; Glomeromycetes; Glomerales; Glomeraceae.
AAGCUCGUAGUUGAAUUUCGGGAUUGACGUGAUGGUCAUGCCUUAAGGGGUAUGAACUGUUACUGUUGAUUUCUCACCUUCUGGAGAAACUUGAUGUCCUUUAUUGGGUGUCUUGCGGAUCCAGGACCUUUACCUUGAAAAAAUUAGAGUGUUUAAAGCAGGCAUUUUUGCUCGAAUACAUUAGCAUGGAAUAAUAGAAUAGGACGGCAUGGUUCUAUUUUGUUGGUUUCUAGGAUCACCGUAAUGAUUAAUAGGGAUAGUGGG